CACGUAGGGCGCGAGCGUUUGUCCGGAAUUAUUGGGCGUAAAGAGCUCGUAGGCGGCCUGUUGCGUCCGCUGUGAAAAGCCCGGGGGCUUAACCCCCGGGUCUGCAGUGGAUACGGGCAGACUAGAGUGUGGUAGGGGGAGACUGGAAUUCCUGGUGUAGCGGUGAAAUGCGCAGAUAUCAGGAGGAACACCGAUGGCGAAGGCAGGUCUCUGGGCCACUACUGACGCUGAGAAGCGAAAAGCAUGGGGGAGC
This 253-nucleotide ribosomal RNA is filed under the name uncultured bacterium. RNAcentral describes it as "partial 16S ribosomal RNA". It matches the Rfam family "Bacterial small subunit ribosomal RNA", at positions 524 to 769 of the family's 1533-position model. The record is from RNAcentral.